Non-coding RNA from Punica granatum (pomegranate), 2611 nucleotides. The record is from RefSeq and is a predicted model, not a curated record. Lineage: Eukaryota; Viridiplantae; Streptophyta; Magnoliopsida; Myrtales; Lythraceae.
UCAUCAUUAAUUAUCUAUACCUCUAAUAAAAAAAAAUGGACCUCGUUUUAGUGUUUUCGCACCUCCAGACACCGAGUAAAGUGUUUUCGUGUGCAUGAACACGAAACGUGCCUAUUCACUCAUCUCCUGCACCUCUCCACCCCUGCACGGCGCCAAUGAUGCCUUCUGUUCUGAAAACAACCAAUGGGUACCAUUUUAACUGUUCCCGUCUCUUCGCCAGACUCAAACGCCUGACUGAACUCCCUGCCUUAAGUUCCUGCCUUCAACACCGGCCACACCUUCUUCUCCACGUCUGCUGCCAUCUAUGGUCUCCAAAGUGCUCGAUCAAAUGCCUCCCACUACCAUCACCUUCGACAUUGCACCAAAGGAUCGAAUUUCGACACGAAUAGGCUAUGGAAUUUCGCACUACAUUGGUGUGAUUUCGCCUCCAUGGGCAAGCAGGUAUGUCUUUUUGCCCGGUUUGAUUGAUCUGUGAGUUAGUUAUCGUUUCAUCUUUUUUUAAUGUCAUCAUAUUAAGAACACCAAACAAUUAAUGUUGUUCAAAGAUGAAUUGAGACUAGAUAUCGUAAGCCAAUAAACUUGAAAAUAAAAGAAAUUGAUACCACUAAAUAUGAUGAGAGUGGUGAAAGAAACAUUUUGCUAGACUUUUUCCUUUAUGUUAAGUUUAUUUAGUUUUCCUAAAGACCAUGGUUUUGGGACAUAUUGUUCAAUCAUAAUAUCUGUUCAGUUUGUUGACAAGGAGGAUUUUCAGCCCAAAUCCAUAUCAACCAGCCCAAGCUCAAAACAUAGCUUGGAUAUAUCAAGAAAAUAUUUUCGUGAUGUGGAAAGGGAAGAUGAGAUGUCUUGAUCCAUAGAUUAGGAAUAUUAUUAUCUUAAUUAGGUUAUAUAUUUAAUUUAGAUAGAAAUAUAUUUAGAAUUAGAUAUUACUUGCAAUUUUAGUUUGAGUCAAGAGUCUUAAGUUUUCUAUUGUGGGACAAUUACUUGUUUUGUUUUAGGAAGUCACAUAGCAAAGAGUUUAGAUUCUAAUUUACUAUUUUAGUUUCUUCUUAGUUGUCUUUGGCCUAUAUAUGUAGAUCAUUUCUUUGUACCAGAUGGCUAGAACUCUAUAUCUCAAGAAUAAUAAUACUUCUUUGAUAAAGUUGAGACAUUUCUCUUUUUAUCAUGGCCCUUUUGGGUGUUAUUUGUUGGGUUUAGCCGUGAUCUAUUCCCUUCGAGUCUAAAUUCAAAUUUAGGCGCGAGAAACCGUGAUCCGCGCUGCGUCAGGCGUGCAUGCACAUCUUGACGAUCCGAGAAGAUCUGAUUGGGAGAAUUUCCCUUUGGGGCUACUGGUGCUGGUAUACAUUCUGUUUACCGGCCAUGUGUCUCAGGUGAAAAUCCUGGUAUCCUAAAUACAAGGGCAUGUCAGGUGAAAAUCCUUGUAUUUAUAUAAAUACAUUCUGUUUACCAUACAUUUUUUUCGUUUUUAUAUAAAUAAACUGUGCCGGACAGAAUUCCUGAUGUAUAUGCUAACUGAAGUGCUAGCUAUUAAUAUCGCUCAACAGUUGCUUAUCCUUCUGAGUUUUGCUUAAGAUUUAUCAAUUUUGUGCUUCCACAGGUGGUAUAACCACGUUGGUCGACAUGCCCCUUAAUAGCUUCCCAUCAACUGUUUCCACUGAAACACCCUAGAACGUAUGGUAAGAUCAGAUGGGCUCAUGGAUUUCAACCCCUCUUCUCCAAGGAAAAGCUUAAAAUUUCCUUAAUAACGUCGUAAAAAAUUAAGGGUAAGGCUGCAUAAAAGAAUAUCUAUGUCAAUGUUUCUGGAGAGGCCUGGUUCUGAUAAUGCAUCCAAUUUAAGUGCCUGGAAGCUCUUCUACAUGCCGGCAUUCUCAAGAUAAAAGUAUUAUCAUCUACCUUCCCUUAAUAUUCUCUCGAUAUUACCUUUAGUUCACCCGAACAAGUCUUGUUUUAUUGAAAUAUAUCUGGUUUUUGUGCCUCUAUUUUAUAUAGAGUAGAAAAAUGGUUUUCUGCACAUUUAGGUACUUUAGUACUGUAGAAGUUGUUUAUCUUCUUGUAAACUAAAACAUGGAAAGUUCCUCAGAACAAAGAUUAGUUGGAGCUCUAUCCUCAAGAAAUUCUACUUUUCCAUAUAACCGAGUUCAUGUUUCUAUUAUGUAGUCUUUUAUAUGUCCAUCAUGUAAAAAUGACUUUCUUAUGAUGAUGCAGUCCACAUUAAGGUCUGUCUCAUAGGACUUGUUCUCUAAUUUCUUUGUGGUUAUCUAAAUAUUGUUCUUAGUGGUAAUUUAUGAAUGGUUUCUACGGGAAGCGACUGUCUGGCUUGGCUAAGUAAAGGAGGCUGCUACUUGUGCACACAGAAGGACAUACAACUGGACUUGACCAGCAUGCCAAACCUUGAUAGAGAUGACCUGCGAUCUUAUUAAACCUAUCUUAAGUUAAGGCCACUUUCAAUGUGAGAUUUUUCUCAUUUGACUGUGACUUAGCAAAUUUGAUUUGUAUAUUAACGAUAUUAUUAUAGAAUCUUCUUCUGAAUAUCCCAUGUCUUAGUCUGGUUACCUUUGUAUUUUCUGUAUUCAAUUCUAUCUGCUUUAGGAAAAUAAAGGUCCAACUUUAACUA